UAACCGGAUUAGAUACCCUGGUAGUCCACGCCCUAAACGAUGCGAACUGGAUGUUGGGUGCAAUUUGGCACGCAGUAUCGAAGCUAACGCGUUAAGUUCGCCGCCUGGGGAGUACGGUCGCAAGACUGAAACUCAAAGGAAUUGACGGGGGCCCGCACAAGCGGUGGAGUAUGUGGUUUAAUUCGAUGCAACGCGAAGAACCUUACCUGGCCUUGACAUGUCGAGAACUUUCCAGAGAUGGAUGGGUGCCUUCGGGAACUCGAACACAGGUGCUGCAUGGCUGUCGUCAGCUCGUGUCGUGAGAUGCUGGGUUAAGUCCCGCAACGAGCGCAACCCUUGUCCUUAGUUGCCAGCACGUAAUGGUGGGAACUCUAAGGAGACCGCCGGUGACAAACCGGAGGAAGGUGGGGAUGACGU
RNAcentral lists this ribosomal RNA (417 nucleotides) under uncultured bacterium. Its description in RNAcentral is "bacterial SSU rRNA". It matches the Rfam family "Bacterial small subunit ribosomal RNA", at positions 770 to 1185 of the family's 1533-position model. The record is from RNAcentral.